AUUGAACGCUGGCGGCAUGCCUUACACAUGCAAGUCGAACGGCAGCACGGGAGCUUGCUCCUGGUGGCGAGUGGCGAACGAGUGAGUAAUACAUCGGAACGUACCCCUGAAGUGGGGGAUAACGUAGCGAAAGUUACGCUAAUACCGCAUAUUCUGUGAGCAGGAAAGAGGGGGAUCGCAAGACCUCUUGCUUUAGGAGCGGCCGAUGUCGGAUUAGCUAGUUGGUGAGGUAAAGGCUCACCAAGGCGACGAUCCGUAGCGGGUCUGAGAGGAUGAUCGCCACACUGGGACUGAGACACGGCCCAGACUCCUACGGGAGGCAGCAGUGGGGAAUUUUGGACAAUGGGCGCAAGCCUGAUCCAGCCAUGCCGCGUGAGUGAAGAAGGCCUCGGUUGUAAG
Molecule: ribosomal RNA, 399 nt
Filed under: uncultured bacterium
Lineage: Bacteria
Description: bacterial SSU rRNA
Rfam family: Bacterial small subunit ribosomal RNA
Source: RNAcentral